Pseudophryne corroboree (corroboree frog) is the source of this 1652-nucleotide long non-coding RNA. RefSeq lists it as uncharacterized. The transcript is spliced from 3 exons. NCBI's taxonomy places the organism in Eukaryota, Metazoa, Chordata, Amphibia, Anura, Myobatrachidae. The record is from RefSeq and is a predicted model, not a curated record.
CAUAUGAUCCGUAACUAGAUACUGAAUGUCCAUGGUGCUUUUUGCUCACCAGGAACAACUUUGUCCAUAAUGAAUAGGCAGGGCACUAGAGACUAAGCAAUACCAGAAUAAGGGCUUCUACCUGCAAUCAGAACAUAGAAACUGAAGUAGAGACUGGACUGGAGUAACACCUCUUCUGCAAGUUCACCAAAAUACGGACAGUGUAAAUUCCUUACAGGGAGCAUUGCUUAGGCAAUUGUAUUCACAGACGUUGGAGAAUGGAAGAACCAUGGCUAAAUAAACAGACACAAGUCCACUCAAAGAGGAGAAGUACUCAAAACUGAAGGUGUACAAGUGAAUGGAGCCAGACAGGAUAUAGCCAAAAUAGCUUAAAGAGGGUCUGGUAACACCAUAAUUAUUCAACCACUAGCCACUAUCAGGAGUAAUUCAAGAAGACAGCGAAGGAGGAAGUGUAAUCCCUUAUCACAAGUAUAGAAGAGUUGGCAACUUUACUGGGUGAUUACAGUUAAGAUCAAGGUGAAGCAUAGAUGUAGCAUAUCUAGAUGUUAGUAAGGACUUUGACACUGGCCUACAUUUAAGACUGCUGAAUACUUUAGAAUAUUCAAUGGUGGUUUUAUGGAUAAGUCAUUGACUGAAGGAUAGAUAACAGCGAGUUGCGGUAUGUGAAGUGUAUUCAGAGUGGGUAAGUUAAUCCUCUGUGUACCACGGGAUCUGUACUUGUACCAGUGCUCUUCAGUAUAUUUAUUGGUAGCAUUACUAAUGGUAAUGAAGGUUAGCCUGCCUUCUUGUACAUGAAACAGAGGAAUGGGUUUACUAGAAAAGGAAAAGUGGAGCUGUUGCACAUAGCACUCCACCAGAUUCUAGCUAGUACAUUCUAGGAAACAUGGCCUGUAUCUGAGUCGGACUGCCUUCCACAUGAUCAUCAUACUCAUUUGCUAGACAGCAAGGUGGUCCAAUGGUUAGCUUUGCUGGCUCACAUCACUGUGGUCAUGGGUUUGAUUCCAGCCUGAGCCCUAUCUGUGUGGAGUUUGUACGUUAUCCUUGGCUUUCCUUCGGGUGCUCUGGUUUCCUCCAAAAACAUGCUGGUAAGUUCAUUGUUUUCUGAGAAAAAAAUAACUCUGGAAGCUAUUUGUAUACAAAUGGUCGGGAGUAUCGAUUGUAAACUCUACUGGGACAGGGAUUGAUAUUCUCUGUAAAGCGGAGUGUAAAAUGUGUUAAAAAUAUAUACCCUCAGAUAUUCUGUACUGCUGUGAAUAUCCAGAUUAUCUGAUUCGCUACAUUUUACCCUGUCCUACUUUAAAUGUGGAGAUAUCUGGAAGAUCAUGACAUGAAGGACUUAUAAAUAAAUAAAAAACGUUUCUUUGAACAAGUAAAUUCCUACUUAUUGCUACAAAGCCAAUACACACUCUGGAUGAUAUAUGCUUACCAAGAGAGAACAUCUCCCACAGAAGGAUACCAUAGGACCAAACAUCACUCUGCACUGUGUAGAUACAGUCAAAAAUGCUUUCUGGGGCCAUCCACUUAACCGGCAGGCGAGCCUGAAGACAUAAAUUGUUCAUGUAAAAUAAGAUUACCUCUAGAUGCCAUUUUUCUUGUGCUCAUUUCAAUGGUUGUAUAUUCUGCUCAAUAAAAUCAAGUCUAAGUCUAAGUUA